UUACGGCCACAUCACAUUGAAACACUGGUUUCCAUAUGAUUACCAAAGCUAAGCAACAUUGUUCCUGGUUUUUACCUAGAUGGGUGACCGCCUUGGAAUACUAGGUGUUGUAAG
This is a non-coding RNA of Acanthosepion pharaonis, 114 nucleotides long. Lineage: Eukaryota; Metazoa; Mollusca; Cephalopoda; Sepiida; Sepiidae. The record is from the annotation of a GenBank genome assembly.